RNAcentral lists this long non-coding RNA (2750 nucleotides) under Homo sapiens (human). Its description in RNAcentral is "HSALNT0019569". Lineage: Eukaryota; Metazoa; Chordata; Mammalia; Primates; Hominidae. The record is from RNAcentral.
AAAAAAAAAAAAAAAAAGAAUUGAAACUAUUUUUGCCUAGCAAGUUACAUUCUUCUGAUGAAGGAUACUAUAUUACAGCACAUGGUAUACAACAGUGGUCAAAGAAACACCACAUCAAAUGAACAUAUAGUAUCCUUUAUCAUCUGCAGAGUAGUGGAAAUAUUUGGAAUCAUUAAUUGAAAUAUCUGCUUAAAAAAACUAAAGUCAGGGUAGUGCAGUGAUAAAGGACGAAAAGGCUCAUUUACUAAGUUGUGCAUUAAAAUUAAGCAUGAGACGAUCAUGUGGUUUUUGUCAUUUGUUCUGUUUAUGUGGUGAAUAACAUUUAUUGAUUUACGUAUGUUGAACCAACAUUGCAUCCCAUGGAUAAAGCCUACUUGAUUGCAGUGUAUUAGCUUUUUGAUGUGCUGCUGGAUACAUCGUGAUUGUUUUGUUUUGUUUUGUUUUGUUUUUUAGGAUUUUUGUGUCUAUAUUCAUCAGGAUACUGGCCUGCAGUUUUCUUUUUUGUUGUAUCUCUGCUAGGUUUUGGUAUCAGGAUAAUGCUGGUCUCAUAAAAUGAAUUAGCAAGGAGUCCCUCCUCCUCAAUUUUUUGGAAUGGUUUCAGUAGGAAUGGUACCUGCUCUUCCUUACAUAUCUAGUAGAAUUCAGCUGAGAACCUGGCUGGUGCUGGGCUUUUUCUGGUUGGUAGGAUUUUAUUACUGAUUCAUUUUUGGAAUUCACCAUUGGUCUGUACAGAGAUUCAAUCUAAAUGCCCAUCAAUGGUAGACUGGAUUUUAAAAAUGUGGUACACAUACACCAUGGAAUACUAUGUAGCCACAAAAAAGAAUGAGAUUUUGUCCUUUGAAGGAACAUGGAUGGAGCUGGAGGCCAUUAUCUAAGCAAACUAACACAGGAACAGAAAACCCAAAACCCCAUGUUCUCACUUAUAAGUGGAAGCUAAACAUCAAAUACAUAUGGACACAAAGAAGAGAACAACAAAUAUUGGGGCCUUCUUGAGGGUGGAGGAUGGGAGGGUGAAGACAGAAAAACCAUCUUUCAGGUGCUAUGCUUAUUACCUGGGUGACAAAAUAAUUUGUACAUCAAACCCCCCCAUGACAUGCAAUUUACCUACGUAGCAAACCCGCACAUAUACUCCUGAAUCUAAAACAAAAGUAAAACAUAAAAAUAAAAAGGUAAACAUGAGAUAAAUCAAAGAUGGCUUACUAUUAGAUAAAUUUCCUAGAUACAGAGGUAGAGGAAACAACGAUUUGGGGAUGAAACCAGCACGUAUCUACAAGUCUUUCCAAACACAUCACAAUUUUCUUCUUUUCUGCCUUACGCUAUAAUUUCUGAGUCCAGUUUAAAAUGAACAGAUCUUGAAGCAUCACUCAUAUUUAAACAGGAGUUACUGUCUAUAGUUUUUAAUUUAACUGAAUUCAGAAGGGGUUGCUGGACCAGAUGGAGGACUGGCAAAUGACAGUCAUGGGGAACUGUGGCCUGCUGCCUAUUUUUGUAGGGCUCUGACUACAAUAGAUUUUAUAUUUUGACAUCUUUUUAAAUUUAAAAUAAGAAUAACAUUUUUAUAAUUAAAAUUAUAUUCAUAAAAUUUAUAUGAAAUUCACAUUUGUGUCCAUAAAGUUUUAUUGGAACACAACCAUGUUCACUAGUUUACAUAUUCCCCAUGGCUGUUUUCACACUAUCAGGGUACAACAGAGUAGUUGCAACAGAAACCACAGAAGCUAGAAUGUCCCGUCCUCUCACCUGGCCUAACUGGGCCUUCAGGUACAAAUGCUUUGUUACCAAGUAGAAGUAGCAGGCCAGUAAGUGUGUACAUUUCUAAUCCUACCCCAUAUGAAUGAAAAUAAAUCAUGAGAGAGGCACUGGCACGAUUCUUAUUUCCAGUGAAUGGAUUAGCUCGAUGGUCAAGCCUGAUGUUUCUUUUUGGAGAGGAAAGUUUGGGUUAAAAUAAGUGAUAGAUAAAAAGAAAGUGGCAUAAUUACCUAAAUAAGAUAUCUCACAAAUAUACUAUUAAAAGGGAAUAGUUAUUAAAAGGGAAUAGUUAUGUAUUAACUAUUAAAAGGGAAUAGUUAUGUAACUAUUAAAAGGGAAAAUCAAACAUAGCUUUGUUUACGACAGCCUUAGAGCAAGAAAAUAAUUUUCUCUCUUACCUUUUAUUCAGACACCUGUAAGAGUGAAAUAAAUUGUCUCUCUAAGACCCUACCAUUUCUAGAGCAAAAUGCCACGGAUCUGGGAGGCAGCAGGCUUGAGCAACAUCGUUACUGGAGUGAUGUACAGCAUAUGCUUCAGUGAAACAAAGGAAAUUCAGGUUUCACACACACACAUGCUGAUGUGGUUUGUAUCUGGAGAUAAAAUGCAUCCUGUAUGACCCAGUGGUGGUAGGACAAAGAAGUCUGUGUGUGAGUUCCAUGGAUGGAUCCCUCAACAAACAACCCUCUCCUACUGUUGCUGUGCCCUUUGCCUGUGAUACAGCCCUUUUUUGAGUAUAAGCUGCUUGAGUCCUGUGAAUUUCUUCAGCAAUCCAACACCAACAUUCUUACCACCUGGUAAGACUAAACAACUUAAUAUAUAUAAAAGCAAAUAAAAUACUUCUACGUGAAAACUAUCUCAAUAAAUGUCUAUGUCUUUCAUUAAAUACUGCUUCACUGAUUAAAUAAUGUAUAGGUAUAGGAAGCAUGUCCCUAUCUCUGAGUUUCAUCUGCAAAAUGGAGAUAACAUCUUUGAAAUCAGAUUUUAAUUCAUAAAUGUAUGUAAAU